This is a long non-coding RNA of Triplophysa rosa, 2923 nucleotides long. RefSeq lists it as uncharacterized. The transcript is spliced from 2 exons. Lineage: Eukaryota; Metazoa; Chordata; Actinopteri; Cypriniformes; Nemacheilidae. The record is from RefSeq and is a predicted model, not a curated record.
GUGCGUCGUGCUAGAUUUCUCCCCCUUACCAAAACUUCAGAGGAGAAGAGAGAGUUCUCUUGUAAUAGGAUUCUAAACAGACCCACCUCACCGGGUUAAACCUGCUGUUUAGUGCCUCAUACUUGCCAGUGCCAGUGCAGUGAAAUGUACAAGUGUUGGCAUGUAUUUGAUCACUCUCACAGUCAAUUACACCGGAUACACUUUAGUGAGCGAUGAGCGAUCCAUAUUUUACGCGAGUCCUGUGACUGAGAAAUAAUCUCUGCUUUCACAUUGGAGUAACACGAGGGUGAGUAGCAGGAUUUUUAUUUUUGGGUGAUCUAUACCUUUAAGACCUUUAAGCUUGUAGAUCACAACGAAGAGAAACUGGAAGCAUUUAAACGUGAACAGUCAUAAAAUCUGACCUUAUUUAAAAGCCCUCGAAAUGUUUGUUUCUAUUUUGUUGCUGCCCUUCUCAGUUUUAUUUACUUUAUCUAAGUGUUUAAAAUAACUUGAGUGGUCAGCUUUCCUCUCUUCAAAAGCCCGGAGGUGAAUGCAGAUGUCAUUUUACAAGGUGCUACCAGUGGGAGAGUUCACACCCACCCUGAGAUUCUGCAGGCUCAUUCCCAGCUGGCCAUAAAUAACGAAAAAUGGAGGAAGACAAUUUUUGUAGUUUUUACUUUAAUUGUAAAGCCAUGCAAAUCAGUCAGUGGUGUUCAGUUCAAAGUCAUGUAAUGUGUUUGAACAAAUGAAGGUAAAGACUAGGCAGCACCUCAGGUAGAUUAAAUAGGAAAGUGUUUGUAAUUAUAUUGUUUUAUAGUGUUUUCCUUGCAUAGUCUUUUAAUGACACAUCUCACCCUUUGACCGCCUGUGUCUUAUCUAAGCAGUUUUUAACUUUAUUAACUCCUAGUGUAAGAUCUGUGCGGUUCAGAAUGUUAAAAUGUAAAGGUUUUGUUAAUAUGAGACUCUCCCACGAAUAAAACCUGCUUGUAAAAAGAUGUUGUUUCAUUUACCUUAGAACUAAACAACGUUGCAAGUUAAUAUACAAUUUAAGGAAGCACAUUUAAGAUGCUGGUAUGUUUAGUUCUUUAGUUUAUAAAUCAGUCGUGUGUUCGAAUAGAUGGAUUUGCUUCGUGAUGGUAAUAAGUUUGCCUAAACAGUUUAACAGCAUAUGAUUCAGAGCUUGUGAAGAAGAAGCGGGUCACCACAAAUUCCCAAACAACUUUUUCUUGAGUGUGCUGUUUACAAGCAUUUUAACAAUACAUUUGUUAAAAAGAGAUCGUAAAAAUAAUCUUAAACUUUGGGUGCUUAAAUUCAAACUAUUAGAACCUAUUACUUGCAACAGAGCAUUUCAAAGCCACGAAAUAGGAAUAUUCAUUGAGUAAUUCUGGAUUAAAGCUCAUUAACCCUUUUGAUUAUCAGCGGACUUUAAUGAGGGAAAUUCAAUUUACAUGAAGUGUCGGGUCAUCCUCAGAUCUUGCCCUGUUGUGGUCGCCCCCCACAUGGAGCAUGUUGUGGAGCACCCCUGAGUAAAGUAAACACAAGGCCAACAGGGGAAACCAGAGGUGUUAUCGAUAACACGAGAAGAGUCUUGAUCUAAAUCCAGCCCCGCAGACUCCAUGCCCUCUGUAUGCCUGCGGAGUGAUGGAGUUUCACCCAGACAUGCAAAUCUCCGAGGCAACAAUCUCUGCAUUGCAACAAUCUGACAGAGAUUGUCAGCAUUGGUCACGUGACUUCUUGUUGCAGGUCAGAGUAUGAACUUUCAUACACAGCUGAAUGUGAAUGCGUAUGAAUGGGAGUCAAUAGGGCGCAAAGUCUCGCGUGAGGGCCCUUUAAAUCUGGCAUAAAAUUCUCCGUAAAAUACUUGUCGUGACAAACCCAUUAAAAUCGCAACAACGUUUGAGCUCAUGAUCCCAGGAGACCCAUAGAAGAAAACAUGUGAGGUUAAAUCAUCCUAAAAGGUUUCAUUAUAGAAUCUCUGCUGGCAGAUGUAUACGGGAGAUGGAGCGUAAAUGUGCCCCGUGAUUUUUUUUCCCCUUUAUGUUGGUAAUGAGACACAGGACAGUCUCAUGAAUGGUUUCUCGGUUGGAUGCCUCUUCACUGUUUGGCCUGCACAUCUCACACAGAUCUCCGACUGUCAGAACGAGAUGGAAAUGAGGGGCUGCUGCAGAUAUGAUCCCCCUGAGUGACACAGAUGACCUAGAAACACUGAUUGCUGAUAGUUAACAGCAGGUUUGGUCACAGGAAUCACACGAGGCAACAUCUGGCGGUGGAACUGUAAUGUGAGCUUUAAAGGUUUGAACUAACAUGCAUGAUGGGUGAACAGUCAGGAGGAAUUUUAUGCUUACUCAUUGGAGAUAUACAUUGUUUAGGCAUCAAAUGCGUCUCCUUAAAGGAACAGUUCACCCAAAAAUAAAAAAAUCUGUCAUAAUUUGCCCACCCUCAUAUUGUUGAUAACCUGUAUGACUUUCCUCUAGGCUCAAUGUUGUUUGUUUACCACGAUCUUCAAAAUGUCUUCAACUAUCCUUUCUUUUCUUUUAACUUCCAUAGUAUGAAUAGAAAUCUACACAAUUGAGACAACUGGAUUAAGUAGAUCCUGUGAUGUCUACAGAGUCUCCAGUUGGCUUUGUAUAGCAGUCGAGGCGUUGUGUGGGACUGUGUGUGCGACAUCUGCUAUUGCUUUUUGUGCGAAGGGAGAAAAAUCACAUUACGUUUGUCUUUGUCUGUGGCUCUAUGGCAACUAAAGUUGAUGUCGACUUGGAGGGAAUAAAAUCAAGUGAUGAAGGGGAAGGAGGCAACCGAGGGCAAACGGAGAAAGCUUAAAGACGGCAGAUGCUUCACACAUAUUUACUUAUCUCACAGCCCGUGUUUGUAUGGACGAUCACCCGACAAGCAUCACACGUAUACAAGUAGAAUCUAAUGACAAAUAAAAUACCUUAUGCUUGAA